GACGAACGCUGGCGGCGUGCUUAACACAUGCAAGUCGAACGGAGAGGCCCUGCGGUUGUGGGGUGCUCGGGAGGGGAACGUAUCAGUUACACAUGCGUACCCUGCCCUUGACUUUGGUAUAACUUCUGGAGACUAAGACUGAUAGCGGAUCGGAUCUCCUGCUGCUGGGGGUGGGUUGGAAAUCUUCGGCGGGUGGGGAUGGCGUCGCGGCUUAUCAGCUUGUUGGUGGGGUAGUGGCUUACCAAGGCCUUGACGGGUAGCCGGCCUGAGAGGGUGACCGGCCACACUGGGACUGAGACACGGCCCAGACUCCUACGGGAGGCAGCAGUGGGGAAUAUUGCACAAUGGGCGGAAGCCUGACGCAGCGACGCCGCGUGGGGGAUGACGGCCUUCGGGUUGUAAACCGCUUUCGGCUGUGACGAAGCGCGAGUGACGGUAACGGGUGAAGAAGCACCGGCUAACUACGUG
RNAcentral lists this ribosomal RNA (468 nucleotides) under uncultured bacterium. Its description in RNAcentral is "partial 16S ribosomal RNA". It matches the Rfam family "Bacterial small subunit ribosomal RNA", at positions 28 to 507 of the family's 1533-position model. The record is from RNAcentral.